UGGAUCCAGACUUUGAUCAUGGCUCAGGACGAACGCUGGCGGCGUGCCUAAUACAUGCAAGUCGAGCGAGCUUGCCUAGAUGAUUUUAGUGCUUGCACUAAAUGAAACUAGAUACAAGCGAGCGGCGGACGGGUGAGUAACACGUGGGUAACCUGCCCAAGAGACUGGGAUAACACCUGGAAACAGAUGCUAAUACCGGAUAACAACACUAGACGCAUGUCUAGAGUUUGAAAGAUGGUUCUGCUAUCACUCUUGGAUGGACCUGCGGUGCAUUAGCUAGUUGGUAAGGUAACGGCUUACCAAGGCAAUGAUGCAUAGCCGAGUUGAGAGACUGAUCGGCCACAUUGGGACUGAGACACGGCCCAAACUCCUACGGGAGGCAGCAGUAGGGAAUCUUCCACAAUGGACGAAAGUCUGAUGGAGCAACGCCGCGUGAGUGAAGAAGGGUUUCGGCUCGUAAAGCUCUGUUGGUAGUGAAGAAAGAUAGAGGUAGUAACUGGCCUUUAUUUGACGGUAAUUACUUAGAAAGUCACGGCUAACUACGUGCCAGCAGCCGCGGUAAUACGUAGGUGGCAAGCGUUGUCCGGAUUUAUUGGGCGUAAAGCGAGUGCAGGCGGUUCAAUAAGUCUGAUGUGAAAGCCUUCGGCUCAACCGGAGAAUUGCAUCAGAAACUGUUGAACUUGAGUGCAGAAGAGGAGAGUGGAACUCCAUGUGUAGCGGUGGAAUGCGUAGAUAUAUGGAAGAACACCAGUGGCGAAGGCGGCUCUCUGGUCUGCAACUGACGCUGAGGCUCGGAAGCAUGGGUAGCGAACAGGAUUAGAUACCCUGGUAGUCCAUGCCGUAAACGAUGAGUGCUAAGUGUUGGGAGGUUUCCGCCUCUCAGUGCUGCAGCUGACGCAGUAAGCACUCCGCCUGGGGAGUACGACCGCAAGGUUGCA
RNAcentral lists this ribosomal RNA (938 nucleotides) under uncultured Bacillota bacterium. RNAcentral describes it as "bacterial SSU rRNA". It matches the Rfam family "Bacterial small subunit ribosomal RNA", at positions 1 to 898 of the family's 1533-position model. The record is from RNAcentral. Lineage: Bacteria; Bacillati; Bacillota.